AGUCCCCAGUAUAUCCAUCUCCAAAAUUACAAAGGACCAAGGGGCGGUAAUAGAAAUAAUUUCAGUAGCAGAUUGAUAUUGGAUGUUAGCAUACCUCUGACAUUGGAUGUUGGAUAUUGGAUGUUAGCAUACCUCUUAGUGACAAGAUCGGCUAUAUUCUUUUGAAUAGUUGACCAGUAAUAAUCUUAUCGGAUUAGUUUAUAAGUAAGUGACUUGCCCCC
Molecule: long non-coding RNA, 221 nt
Filed under: Elaeis guineensis (African oil palm)
Lineage: Eukaryota; Viridiplantae; Streptophyta; Magnoliopsida; Arecales; Arecaceae
Description: long non-coding RNA (EGUI_LNC002913)
Source: RNAcentral